AGUCGAACGGCAGCGCGGGGCAACCUGGNGGCGAGUGGCGAACGGGUGAGUAAUAUAUCGGAACGUACCCUNGAGUGGGGGAUAACGUAGCGAAAGUUACGCUAAUACCGCAUACGAUCUANGGAUGAAAGUGGGGGAUUCGCAAGAACCUCAUGCUCGUGGAGCGGCCGAUAUCUGAUUAGCUAGUUGGUAGGGUAAAAGCCUACCAAGGCAUCGAUCAGUAGCUGGUCUGAGAGGACGACCAGCCACACUGGAACUGAGACACGGUCCAGACUCCUACGGGAGGCAGCAGUGGGGAAUUUUGGACAAUGGGCGAAAGCCUGAUCCAGCAAUGCCGCGUGAGUGAAGAAGGCCUUCGGGUUGUAAAGCUCUUUUGUCAGGGAAGAAACGGUGGACUCUAAUACAGGCCACUAAUGACGGUACCUGAAGAAUAAGCACCGGCUAACUACGUGCCAGCAGCCGCGGUAAUACGUAGGGUGCAAGCGUUAAUCGGAAUUACUGGGCGUAAAGCGUGCGCAGGCGGUUUUGUAAGUCUGACGUGAAAUCCCCGGGCUCAACCUGGGAAUUGCGUUGGAGACUGCAAGGCUAGAGUUUGGCAGAGGGGGGUAGAAUUCCACGUGUAGCAGUGAAAUGCGUAGAUAUGUGGAGGAACACCGAUGGCGAAGGCAGCCCCCUGGGUCAAGACUGACGCUCAUGCACGAAAGCGUGGGGAGCAAACAGGAUUAGAUACCCUGGUAGUCCACGCCCUAAACGAUGUCUACUAGUUGUCGGGUCUUAAUUGACUUGGUAACGCAGCUAACGCGUGAAGUAGACCGCCUGGGGA
RNAcentral lists this ribosomal RNA (823 nucleotides) under Rugamonas rubra. Its description in RNAcentral is "bacterial SSU rRNA". It matches the Rfam family "Bacterial small subunit ribosomal RNA", at positions 60 to 879 of the family's 1533-position model. The record is from RNAcentral. Lineage: Bacteria; Pseudomonadati; Pseudomonadota; Betaproteobacteria; Burkholderiales; Oxalobacteraceae.